Molecule: ribosomal RNA, 253 nt
Filed under: uncultured bacterium
Lineage: Bacteria
Description: partial 16S ribosomal RNA
Rfam family: Bacterial small subunit ribosomal RNA
Source: RNAcentral
UACAGAGGGUGCGAGCGUUAAUCGGAAUUACUGGGUGUAAAGGGCGCGUAGGCGGUAAGGGAAGUGUGAUGUGAAAGCCCCGGGCUUAACCUGGGAAGCGCAUCGCAAACUCCCUAACUAGAGUAUAUGAGAGGGUGGCGGAAUUUCCGGUGUAGCGGUGAAAUGCGUAGAGAUCGGAAGGAACGUCAAUGGCGAAGGCAGCCACCUGGCAUAAUACUGACGCUGAGGCGCGAAAGCGUGGGGAGCGAACAGG